RNAcentral lists this ribosomal RNA (497 nucleotides) under uncultured bacterium. RNAcentral describes it as "partial 16S ribosomal RNA". It matches the Rfam family "Bacterial small subunit ribosomal RNA", at positions 28 to 507 of the family's 1533-position model. The record is from RNAcentral.
GACGAACGCUGGCGGCGUGCCUAAUACAUGCAAGUAGAACGCUGAAGAGAGGAGCUUGCUCUUCUUGGAUGAGUUGCGAACGGGUGAGUAACGCGUAGGUAACCUGCCUUGUAGCGGGGGAUAACUAGUGGAAACGAUAGCUAAUACCGCAUAACAAUGGAUGACACAUGUCAUUUAUUUGAAAGGGGCAAUUGCUCCACUACAAGAUGGACCUGCGUUGUAUUAGCUAGUAGGUGAGGUAAUGGCUCAACUAGGCGACGAUACAUAGACGACCUGAGAGGGUGAUCGGCCAGCCUGGGAGUGAGACACGGCCCAGACUCAUACGGGAGGCAGCCGUAGGGAAUCUUCGGCAAUGGGGGCAACACUGACCGAGCAACGCCGCGUGAGUGAAGAAGGUCUUCGGAUCGUAAAGCUCUGUUGUAAGUCAAGAACGGGUGUGAGAGUGGAAAGUUCACACUGUGACGGUAGCUUACAAGAAAGGGACGGCUAACUACGUG